This 468-nucleotide ribosomal RNA is filed under the name uncultured bacterium. Its description in RNAcentral is "partial 16S ribosomal RNA". It matches the Rfam family "Bacterial small subunit ribosomal RNA", at positions 28 to 507 of the family's 1533-position model. The record is from RNAcentral.
GACGAACGCUGGCGGCGUGCUUAACACAUGCAAGUCGAACGGAAAGGCCCUGCUUUUGUGGGGUGCUCGAGUGGCGAACGGGUGAGUAACACGUGAGUAACCUGCCCUUGACUUUGGGAUAACUUCAGGAAACUGGGGCUAAUACCGGAUAGGAGCUCCUGCUGCAUGGUGGGGGUUGGAAAGUUUCGGCGGUUGGGGAUGGGCUCGCGGCUUAUCAGCUUGUUGGUGGGGUAGUGGCUUACCAAGGCUUUGACGGGUAGCCGGCCUGAGAGGGUGACCGGCCACAUUGGGACUGAGAUACGGCCCAGACUCCUACGGAAGGCAGCAGUGGGGAAUAUUGCACAAUGGGCGGAAGCCUGAUGCAGCAACGCCGCGUGCGGGAUGACGGCCUUCGGGUUGUAAACCGCUUUCGCCUGUGACGAAGCGUGAGUGACGGUAAUGGGUAAAGAAGCACCGGCUAACUACGUG